CCCUAGCCCCGACAGCAGCGGAAAGCCUAUGCCGGUUGAAAACCACUUUUUUCUGGUGGUGGCAGAGCGAAUCCCGACACUUCGGGAGAAGCUCCUGACAGCGGCUAGAAAAAGGGUUUGAAACCAAAUAACUUGCAGCGUAGGGCGGGAAUUGCU
This 156-nucleotide small RNA is filed under the name Flavobacterium sp. 11. Its description in RNAcentral is "Flavo-1 RNA". Lineage: Bacteria; Pseudomonadati; Bacteroidota; Flavobacteriia; Flavobacteriales; Flavobacteriaceae. The record is from RNAcentral.